GGGACACGUGGUAUCCUGUCUGAAUAUGGGGGGACCAUCCUCCAAGGCUAAAUACUCCUGACUGACCGAUAGUGAACCAGUACCGUGAGGGAAAGGCGAAAAGAACCCCGGCGAGGGGAGUGAAAAAGAACCUGAAACCGUGUACGUACAAGCAGUGGGAGCCUCUUAAUGGGGUGACUGCGUACCUUUUGUAUAAUGGGUCAGCGACUUAUAUUCUGUAGCAAGGUUAACCGAAUAGGGGAGCCGAAGGGAAACCGAGUCUUAACUGGGCGUUAAGUUGCAGGGUAUAGACCCGAAACCCGGUGAUCUAGCCAUGGGCAGGUUGAAGGUUGGGUAACACUAACUGGAGGACCGAACCGACUAAUGUUGAAAAAUUAGCGGAUGACUUGUGGCUGGGGGUGAAAGGCCAAUCAAACCGGGAGAUAGCUGGUUCUCCCCGAAAGCUAUUUAGGUAGCGCCUCGUGAAUUCAUCUCCGGGGGUAGAGCACUGUUUCGGCAAGGGGGUCAUCCCGACUUACCAACCCGAUGCAAACUGCGAAUACCGGAGAAUGUUAUCACGGGAGACACACGGCGGGUGCUAACGUCCGUCGUGAAGAGGGAAACAACCCAGACCGCCAGCUAAGGUCCCAAAGUCAUGGUUAAGUGGGAAACGAUGUGGGAAGGCCCAGACAGCCAGGAUGUUGGCUUAGAAGCAGCCAUCAUUUAAAGAAAGCGUAAUAGCUCACUGGUCGAGUCGGCCUGCGCGGAAGAUGUAACGGGGCUAAACCAUGCACCGAAGCUGCGGCAGCGACGCUUAUGCGUUGUUGGGUAGGGGAGCGUUCUGUAAGCCUGUGAAGGUGUGCUGUGAGGCAUGCUGGAGGUAUCAGAAGUGCGAAUGCUGACAUAAGUAACGAUAAAGCGGGUGAAAAGCCCGCUCGCCGGAAGACCAAGGGUUCCUGUCCAACGUUAAUCGGGGCAGGGUGAGUCGAUCCCUAAGGCGAGGCCGAAAGGCGUAGUCGAUGGGAAACAGGUUAAUAUUCCUGUACUUGGUGUUACUGCGAAGGGGGGACGGAGAAGGCUAUGUUGGCCGGGCGACGGUUGUCCCGGUUUAAGCGUGUAGGCUGGUUUUCCAGGCAAAUCCGGAAAACCAAGGCUGAGGCGUGAUGACGAGGCACUACGGUGCUGAAGCGACAAAUGCCCUGCUUCCAGGAAAAGCCUCUAAGCAUCAGGUAACAUCAAAUCGUACCCCAAACCGACACAGGUGGUCAGGUAGAGAAUACCAAGGCGCUUGAGAGAACUCGGGUGAAGGAACUAGGCAAAAUGGUGCCGUAACUUCGGGAGAAGGCACGCUGAUAUGUAGGUGAAGCGACUUGCUCGUGGAGCUGAAAUCAGUCGAAGAUACCAGCUGGCUGCAACUGUUUAUUAAAAACACAGCACUGUGCAAACACGAAAGUGGACGUAUACGGUGUGACGCCUGCCCGGUGCCGGAAGGUUAAUUGAUGGGGUUAGCGGCAACGCGAAGCUCUUGAUCGAAGCCCCGGUAAACGGCGGCCGUAACUAUAACGGUCCUAAGGUAGCGAAAUUCCUUGUCGGGUAAGUUCCGACCUGCACGAAUGGCGUAAUGAUGGCCAGGCUGUCUCCACCCGAGACUCAGUGAAAUUGAACUCGCUGUGAAGAUGCAGUGUACCCGCGGCAAGACGGAAAGACCCCGUGAACCUUUACUAUAGCUUGACACUGAACAUUGAGCCUUGAUGUGUAGGAUAGGUGGGAGGCUUUGAAGUGUGGACGCCAGUCUGCAUGGAGCCGACCUUGAAAUACCACCCUUUAAUGUUUGAUGUUCUAACGUUGGCCCCUAAUCGGGGUUGCGGACAGUGUCUGGUGGGUAGUUUGACUGGGGCGGUCUCCUCCUAAAGAGUAACGGAGGAGCACGAAGGUUGGCUAAUCCUGGUCGGACAUCAGGAGGUUAGUGCAAUGGCAUAAGCCAGCUUGACUGCGAGCGUGACGGCGCGAGCAGGUGCGAAAGCAGGUCAUAGUGAUCCGGUGGUUCUGAAUGGAAGGGCCAUCGCUCAACGGAUAAAAGGUACUCCGGGGAUAACAGGCUGAUACCGCCCAAGAGUUCAUAUCGACGGCGGUGUUUGGCACCUCGAUGUCGGCUCAUCACAUCCUGGGGCUGAAGUAGGUCCCAAGGGUAUGGCUGUUCGCCAUUUAAAGUGGUACGCGAGCUGGGUUUAGAACGUCGUGAGACAGUUCGGUCCCUAUCUGCCGUGGGCGCUGGAGAACUGAGGGGGGCUGCUCCUAGUACGAGAGGACCGGAGUGGACGCAUCACUGGUGUUCGGGUUGUCAUGCCAAUGGCACUGCCCGGUAGCUAAAUGCGGAAGAGAUAAGUGCUGAAAGCAUCUAAGCACGAAACUUGCCCCGAGAUGAGUUCUCCCUGAGACUUAGAGUCUCCUGAAGGAACGUUGAAGACGACGACG
RNAcentral lists this ribosomal RNA (2454 nucleotides) under Escherichia coli. RNAcentral's name for it is "partial 23S ribosomal RNA". It matches the Rfam family "Bacterial large subunit ribosomal RNA", at positions 419 to 2852 of the family's 2925-position model. The record is from RNAcentral. Lineage: Bacteria; Pseudomonadati; Pseudomonadota; Gammaproteobacteria; Enterobacterales; Enterobacteriaceae.